UUCCAGACUCCUACGGGAGGCAGCAGUGAGGAAUAUUGGUCAAUGGGCGGGAGCCUGAACCAGCCAAGUCGCGUGAGGGAUGACGGCCCUAUGGGUUGUAAACCUCUUUUGCCGGGGAGCAAAGUGCCGCACGUGUGCGGUUUGGAGAGUACCCGGAGAAAAAGCAUCGGCUAACUCCGUGCCAGCAGCCGCGGUAAUACGGAGGGUGCGAGCGUUAAUCGGAAUUACUGGGCGUAAAGCGCUCGUAGGCGGUAUGUCAAGUCAAGGGUGAAAUCCCCGCGCUCAACGUGGGAACUGCCUUUGAAACUGGCAAACUGGAGUGUGUGAGAGGAUAGUGGAAUUCCAGGUGUAGGAGUGAAAUCCGUAGAUAUCUGGAGGAACAUCAGUGGCGAAGGCGACUAUCUGGCACAUAACUGACGCUGAGGAGCGAAAGCGUGGGUAGCAAACAGGAUUAGAUACCCUCGUACG
RNAcentral lists this ribosomal RNA (468 nucleotides) under uncultured bacterium. RNAcentral describes it as "partial 16S ribosomal RNA". It matches the Rfam family "Bacterial small subunit ribosomal RNA", at positions 329 to 793 of the family's 1533-position model. The record is from RNAcentral.